AGUAAAAGUCGUAACAAGGUUUCCGUAGGUGAACCUGCGGAAGGAUCAUUAUCGAGUUACUAUUGACUUUGAUGCUGGCCGCUUGCGGCAUGUGCUCGAGUCUUUAAAUCCACUCAACCACUGUGCACUAAUUCGAAAGCUUCGCGGUUCAGGCUCCUUCCUUCGGGGGGUCGAGUUCGGGCUUGCGGGGUUUUCGAGCUUCAUACAAACCACAUAUUGUCAUGUCGAAUGUAAUACUUUAUUAAAAAUACAACUUUCAACAACGGAUCUCUUGGCUCUCGCAUCGAUGAAGAACGCAGCGAAAUGCGAUAAGUAAUGUGAAUUGCAGAAUUCAGUGAAUCAUCGAAUCUUUGAACGCACCUUGCGCUCUUUGGUAUUCCGAAGAGCAUGCCUGUUUGAGUGUCAUGUAAUCAUCAAUCCGACUUCGCUUUUUGUGAAGCUCGGACUUGGAUUUGGAGGUUCUUGCUGGCUUUCCGUCGGCUCCUCUUGAAUGCAUUAGCUGGACUCCGUCGCGGUUCGCGGUGUGAUAACUUAUUCACCCUUGGACUUCGAAGUAAGACCGGCUUCUAAAACCCCUUUACUUUUGACCAUCUGGCCUCAAAUCAGGUAGGACUACCCGCUGAACUUAAGCAUAUCAAUAAGCGGAGGA
This 649-nucleotide ribosomal RNA is filed under the name uncultured fungus. RNAcentral's name for it is "eukaryotic LSU rRNA". The stretch from base 252 to 405 matches the Rfam family "5.8S ribosomal RNA". Lineage: Eukaryota; Fungi. The record is from RNAcentral.